AGAGUUUGAUCCUGGCUCAGGAUGAACGCUAGCUACAGGCUUAACACAUGCAAGUCGAGGGGCAUCAGUUUGGUUUGCUUGCAAACCAAAGCUGGCGACCGGCGCACGGGUGAGUAACACGUAUCCAACCUGCCUCAUACUCGGGGAUAGCCUUUCGAAAGAAAGAUUAAUAUCCGAUAGCAUAUAUUUCCCGCAUGGGUUUUAAUAUUAAGGAAAUUCGGUAUGAGAUGGGGAUGCGUUCCAUUAGUUGUUGGCGGGGUAACGGCCACCAAGACUACGAUGGAUAGGGGUUCUGAGAGGAAGGUCCCCCACAUUGGAACUGAGANACCCCCCCCCGGUAAACCUCCUACGGAGGCA
RNAcentral lists this ribosomal RNA (357 nucleotides) under uncultured bacterium. RNAcentral describes it as "bacterial SSU rRNA". It matches the Rfam family "Bacterial small subunit ribosomal RNA", at positions 8 to 350 of the family's 1533-position model. The record is from RNAcentral.